UUGACGUGCAAAUGAUAAUGAUUAUUAUUGAGCGCAAUCGGUCGCGAGACCGAUGGGUAACCCGGAAGCUUUGGUCGGCUUGCGGAUUAUCUCCUCAUCAGGCUAAUCACGGUUUUUGACCCGGCUUCUCGCCGGGUCUUUUUUUU
RNAcentral lists this small RNA (146 nucleotides) under Pseudomonas sp. NFACC02. RNAcentral describes it as "PrrF RNA". It matches the Rfam family "PrrF RNA". Rfam says of the family: PrrF RNA is a small RNA involved in iron homeostasis and is found exclusively in Pseudomonas species. Their expression is induced under iron limitation by the ferric uptake regulator (Fur) and they act to negatively regulate several genes including sodB and sdh. The record is from RNAcentral. Lineage: Bacteria; Pseudomonadati; Pseudomonadota; Gammaproteobacteria; Pseudomonadales; Pseudomonadaceae.